CGACUCUCGACAACGGAUAUCUCGGCUCUCGCAUCGAUGAAGAACGUAGCAAAAUGCGAUACUUGGUGUGAAUUGCAGAAUCCCGUGAACCAUCGAGUCUUUGAACGCAAGUUGCGCCCGAAGCCAUUAGGCCGAGGGCACGUCUGCCUGGGCGUCACGCAUCGCGUCGCCCCC
RNAcentral lists this ribosomal RNA (174 nucleotides) under Heterotoma lobelioides. RNAcentral describes it as "5.8S ribosomal RNA". The stretch from base 2 to 157 matches the Rfam family "5.8S ribosomal RNA". From Rfam's summary of the family: 5.8S ribosomal RNA (5.8S rRNA) is a component of the large subunit of the eukaryotic ribosome. Lineage: Eukaryota; Viridiplantae; Streptophyta; Magnoliopsida; Asterales; Campanulaceae. The record is from RNAcentral. RNAcentral also lists the same sequence under 5 other names.